GGCACAGCAGAGCUAUUUUCGGCCUGGCGGUGAUUUCGGGGUUGAUGUACCCCGUGUGAUAAGGUUAUAGUUCGCUCCGCUCACUGACGAGGAAUAUUAUUUGUGUGUGUGUGUAUGCUCUACCUACGGUUCCUGUGAGUUGACUGGCGAAAAGAUGGUCUACAGUUAGAAGUCUAACCGCCAGCAAGUCUCGAGCUCAGCGUUUCACAGGCUGUGUAGACCGAGAAGUGCGGAACUAGGUCAAAGGGCAAGGAGAGGGUUGGCCGUCUCAAGCCUGUUUCAGCACAAGCCAUUGUUUGGGGCUCCUGGCACCGGCCGAUCGAGUGGAGUCGGUGAAAACAGCAGACGACUGACAGCAGCAAAGUUGGUCUCAGUCUCCUGCUCUCACAUACUUAUAACAGGUUGCGGUCCAGGUCCAGGUCCAACGCCGUCACAUCAGGAAGCGACACGAGCAGUCUAGACUCUGCCCAUAUAAGGACAGCGCGUGCAAGAGAGGUCAGGCUGAUGGCUGAAAAACAGGACGCGGACUGCACCUUGUUGCUGGACUCCUCCGACUUCUUCGACCCCCCUGCCUGGGUACCCGGCCGCUACUUGCAGUUCGCCGACUUCUCCAGCACGGACGAGCAGUCCACCCUGUGGCCUGUGUCGCUACCUGCCGAGAUGCAGGAAGACGUCCGCCUCUACAUCCCGAAGCAUCAAGCUCCACCAGUCGCUACCACACUGCAGAUGUCAGUGAACAGAAGUCGUCUGCUUGUGGCGAUGUCAGGUGUCAUGACCUUUCUGACAAUACUGUGCUUCCUGACCUACUGUCUGUGACAUCACAGUCAUCACAUGUCAUAACUUAUAGAACACAGGCCAACGAUGUACGCACGCACGCGCGUGCACACAUGCGCACCUGCGCCAACUUGCGUGCUGACAAAUAUUUGUGGCCUGUGCAGUCGCAACCUUUCAUCCCCAUCCCCGUAAACAAGCGCACGCCACCUGCUCAGGUACAGGUACAGGUAAUCUGAUGACGUGUGGUGGUUGAUGCUCAGCCCUGUCGUGUCAACUCCGUCAUUCCAGCGGGUGAUCAGUGGACUGCACUCUGCGACAUAAGCUUCCGCCACCACCUCUCGGACCUCACCUGCCCAAAAACUGUUCCCACCUUGUGGACACAAGCAGGUGUUUGUUUGGACACAGACUGUCCUCAACAUUGUGUUAGGAAGCCUGACAAUCCUAACAACCAUUCUCGGUACCUCAGCUGCCGGGUACAUCUCGCUACCCACAACCAGUUCACGGGUACAUCAAUAUUGGCAGAUCAAAAUACUACCCUAUAGAUAAACAAUGUUUACACUAAGGACAGUUGCCAGCAGUAUUCUUUGUGUUUAGUGUGCGGACAGUGGAGAGGUGGUCAGUGACACGUGGCACCCGGUGGAUUACCCGGCUGACUUGGUUGAUUGAUCAGGACUAACGGGCCUGUAGGGUGUGCCAGCGACAAAGGCUUUCACCGCCGCGGACAACGAUGCCAACAUCUACAAGCUCUGUCUCCAUGAAGACAGGUGGCGGAAGCCAGUGUCUAUAUCAGACAAUGAUUUGUUAAUCUCAUUCAGAAAAAUGUUCGAUAUUUUGUUUAUUUAUGUACGUACCCUGUGUGGGUGAGUGACGUGGAAUGGGUAUUAAUGAGUGAAAGAGUGGGUAAAAGAGAAGAUAAAAAUGUUCAUGUAAGCAGUUUCUAGAGUGAGCGAUUCUGAAAGCAACCAUGUCAUCAGCUGACCUGAGGACCCACAAAGUUCACGUCCUUAGUGCGUUGCUAGGCAACCGCUUGACAUCACUCCAUGCACUUGUUUGUGAAUGAAUGAAGGCUGAGAAAUACUGAAAGGCCAGUAGGUUUGAUGCACAAACUUUUGUGAUUCUCUCUGUGUAUGUUGAGCGUAUGUGUGUGUGCACGUGUGUGUGUGUGCGUAUGUCUGUGAGCGCGCGCGUAUGUGUGUGUGCGUAUGUGUGCGUGUGAGUGUGUGUGUGUGGAGCGCCUUGAGUGUACUAACAGAACCUGAAAUAGCUCCGCCACGAGUUCUCGAUCAUUAAAUGUCAAUCCCAAAAUACUCUUGUCUAGUCCCAAACUGUGCUUGACUUCUGUCAACUGUGUUCACGGUAAUAAAUACGAUAAAGCCACUUUUAGCAAAUGUUCAUUUUGUUCUAUUUUCCAGGUUGUGACUCAGAAGCAGCUCAAUAAAGCAAUGUUAUUGUGUCAGA
RNAcentral lists this long non-coding RNA (2232 nucleotides) under Pomacea canaliculata. RNAcentral's name for it is "uncharacterized LOC112553146". Lineage: Eukaryota; Metazoa; Mollusca; Gastropoda; Architaenioglossa; Ampullariidae. The record is from RNAcentral.